GGGCGUAUGGUCUAGUGGUAUGAUUUCUGUUUUGCAAUGCCUCAUUGUAUUACAGACGGUCCCGCGUUCGAUCCGCGGUACGUCCA
Molecule: transfer RNA, 86 nt
Filed under: Thermothelomyces hinnuleus
Lineage: Eukaryota; Fungi; Ascomycota; Sordariomycetes; Sordariales; Chaetomiaceae
Also listed under: 1 other name
Description: tRNA-Ala
Rfam family: tRNA
About the family: Transfer RNA (tRNA) molecules are approximately 80 nucleotides in length. Their secondary structure includes four short double-helical elements and three loops (D, anti-codon, and T loops).
Source: RNAcentral